Triticum urartu is the source of this 2578-nucleotide long non-coding RNA. RefSeq lists it as uncharacterized. The record is from RefSeq and is a predicted model, not a curated record. Lineage: Eukaryota; Viridiplantae; Streptophyta; Magnoliopsida; Poales; Poaceae.
UUUCGUUCCGUCCACCACCUCCCCUCCGUUGGUUUUACCGUGACGACAGAACCGGGGGGACUCCCUGUGUCAAUCCCUCGCUAGCCCUACCUCGUCUCCCGUCUCCAGUCGCAGCCGCCGCCACACCUGGCGACCCCUGCGCAGCACACCCACGCCACUGGACAGCCCCGCCGCCCAUACCUGCCGUCCCCUGCGCCACCCAUCGCCGCCUCGCCCCGCCUGCCGCCUCCCCUUCACGCCGGCGCGCGCUCGCCUCGCCUGCACCGGGCUACUUGUGAUCUGGACGCCGUCGGUGAUCUGGACCAAAAGCACGAGAAGCAACAAUGGUGAAAAGAGGAGGAAGAUGACGGACGGCGAUGGAAGCUGCAGGCGAUGAGCUAGCAGCGAGGGACACAGAGGACACCAAGCAGACCUUCGGGCCGGAUAGAGACACAUUUAUCAGGAUUGUCUUCGUGUAGCGGGUGAUGGAUAAUGAGGGAUGGGACCUCGGCUUGACGCUCUUCAAGAUUGUCGUUUUAUUUGGGAGCCUGCCCUUCUAUCGCCACCAGGUGCCCGACCUUAAUUCGUGUUCUGCUCCUGUUAAUUUCUCUUGUGAAAUUGCUAUCAGGUAUUUGUGGUUGCUUUUGUAAAGGAAGAUAUCAACCCAAGAUAUCAUGACGGCACACAAGAUCAGCUUAGGAUGCUUGUACCACCAAUUUGAUGGCUUUCAACCAAAUUGUGCUAACUCUGGCGUGAGAACGGUAACAUAUAUGUUUUCCUCUAGGCGUCAUAGCAUUGUGGAUUUGCAUCAUUACUUCAGCAGGCUAGCUGGAUGUGAUCUAGACAUAGGUGAUUUUGAGCCAACACCAGCCUUAAAAGUAUGUCUCUGUUUUCUCUCAUGCUUCUACUAUGAUGCCCCGCAUCAUGUGUUUGUUAAAAUGCUUAACAAAUCUGAAGUAAGUUCAUGCCAGCCACAUGCUUGCUACGAUGCCUCUCAUAGAUCUCUAAUACUAACCUGCAUGCCAAACUUACUCUCGUUAUUAGGCAAGACUAGAUUGGAUGGAUAUAACUAAUCUAAUAUAUUUUCGAAUGUGAUCAUGGAUGCAUUUAAUGUUGAAUAAUAUCUCCUACAUCAUAAUUGAAGGUAAGUAGGUAAUAGUAAUUUUUCAUAUAUUGUUUGUUCUAGGUACUGCACUAAUGUUUCUACAGGAAACAUUUUACCUGACACAUGUUUACAGGUACACGCACUUUAGAAGCCACAAACCAGUCCAACUCAUGUCUGAUGAUUUGGUAGAGCUGUCGUAACCAUGGAACUGGCUUCAUUUAUUGAUAAGAUUAUGUUCAUUGAUCCCAAGACUAUGCUCAUGGGACAAGGAUUAAGGAAGGUCGCCAUGGGAUGAUUUACAAGGAAUUGCCAGUAUUACGUGAGAAGGCCCAAGGCUGGAAUCAACGGUAGCAAGUUAUUGUUUCCCGUGAAGCCUUUUGUUUUUAUUAAUUACAUUAGAUCAUGACUUCUUUCUGGAUCAAUCAUUAUUGGAUGGUAAUUAUAUCUACUAGUUUAGCUUGGAAACAUCUAAAGGUAACAACAAAAAAGCCGUCAGGAAAACACACGAAAUCUGAACUUACACUCAAUUAUAUGCACUCACGCUGAAUUUUCUUCUUUUUGGUUCAGUUUCAUAGCAGUGAAGGGGAGAGCAAGCGACUAACCAACACUAAUGCGUAAAAUGUAAAGAGAAAACCAUGAUGGGGAAGGAUUAACUUUCAUUCAAGAGGUGGCCAUUGAGUUGGGCAGAUGAAGUUGUGGAACAACUUAAGGUUACGGGAUGAACAAGUGCAUGUCCCAGAACUUCAAUGUUGAUUAAUUUUCUUAAGAUGGAGUAGUUCACAUGGUUCUAUUUUGAGAAUUCCGCCACCCCAUUCGCGUGUAGCCCUAGAAUAUUAUCAAGGCAGGAUACAUUGUCCCAACGCACCGAGUCGGCAAGCCCUCAGAUGUGGAACCAGAUUCAUCACACAUGCGGUUCUAUCCAUGGUGGUGCAGUGCGACAGUCUGUACUAUGUUGCAGUUAAUCUUGUGAUAAUGAUAUGCUAUUCAUUUGUUAUUUUCAACAAAUAUUAGAUAUGAUUGUUUUCAUAAUUAUGAACCAAAUUUUGCUUGUACGCAUUCCUCUUAUCUUUGCUUCAACUCUUUUCCUUUUAUUUGUGCUGCAUGGUGUAACCUGAUUUGGUUGAUCAUUGGUGCAUGCACUUGAUUUGGUUUAUCUUCGUGUAGCGUGCAGGGAACCUAAUUCGACUUACAUCUCGUGGGUGAUGUGAAAAAUUAUGUACUCCCUUUACAUGGAGUUGUUAGUUUUGUUGGCCUCCAAUGCUUGACCAUUUGGCUAAAUAUUUAUUUUCUGGCUUAAUUCUAUAGAUAACACCGAUUAUAGUGGAUGAAUGUCCAUAAAAAAAUUGAUCUAUUAUGUGGCACUUUAUGUUUCUUGAUUCUAGACUGGUUCAUAUUAGCACUUGUACUAAAUGAAAAGUGUUCAUGCUCUGAUAUGGAUCUCAUGUUCUGAAUUUAGGUGAAAAGUUUUCUUUCUUAAAUUUUGUCAUUAUUACU